AAAUUGUAAUACCUUUUCACACAUUUUUCCAAAAUUUUCCUAUUCUAACUUUUUUUACUUAAAAUUGAAAACCUAAACACCUUCUCCCUCAUAGAAAACCUAAACACCUUCUCCCUCAAUCAGUCGCAUCUCUAGCUUUGUCGCUCACUCUUUCACUCAUGAUUCUAGCUCAGUUGCCCACUCCGUCACGUGUCACUCUAUUACUCCGUCGUAGGCAGCCCUAUCAUUCGUCGGAGUUGUUCGCAACUUUUAGGAGCUUCCACUUCCGAUUGUUUUCCUAACAUUUCACUUUCGAUUUGCUUGCACUCAUGGUACUGCAAUGUAAACUUUUAUCUAAUUUGUGAAUGUUGAAACCUAAUUUUGGAUAAUUUUCACAAAGCAAUCCAAAUAGAAAUGUGGCACUUACAUUUACCGUUUGAAAGUUUGGUAGUUUUUAUGAUGCUAAUGAUUCGUUGUAGGUGCAUUAUUCAUUCCAAAAUCAUGAAUGCUUUUGAACUUUUCUCUAUUUUGUUUUUGUUUUGUUUCAUUUUUCCAAUGAGUCUCUAUAAAGUCUCGACCUAGUGUUAGUGCCUGAGUUGGCACUAUGGUAGGUGUAUGCGGCUGGAAAAACUGAAUAUAUUUUGCAUAUUCAAAAUAGUUUUUCUUAGCAAUUAGUAUCUUGAUCAGAACUAACUAAAAACAAAGGCUCAAACUGGGUUUUCGAGUUUUUUAUUUUUUUUAUUACUGAAAUUGUGUUGGUGUAUGGUGAGUUUCUUAAGCAGCAAUCCAAAUAUAUUUUUAAAUUAUUGAAACGAGCCUCUUUGAUAUUCUUACUUGGUUUAGGAUUUUAACCCUUGUCCAAAACCAUCUUAAAUCAGGCUAAUGGAAGUUUUCUGAGUUUCUACCAUCUUUGCUUAAUGAUUCUUGUUUGUUUAGUUAUGAAUUGUUCAUGCCUCGGGCAUUUUUGCUUUAACACCCCUUGAUUAGUUAGCCUAUUCCUUUUAUUAAUGAAGGUUGUCCUGCAUUAACUACAUUGCCUAAUUUGGUAGCUUCACAAGGGAUGGAGUCCGAGAUCAUGCCUCUCAAAUGUCCAUUACAAGCUUCAUUGCCGAAUUUAGCUUCUUCUUGUGUUGGAUAGAUAACCUGUGUAAAUCAUGCAGAGUUCUUUCUUGGUUGUUUUCUCUGAUAUUGUUUUCUUUGACAGAUCAUGGCAGGAAACAUGUCUGAUCCAAGUGGGAGCAAGGGUGCAAAUAUUUUCAUUGUAUCUUCUUCCUUGUUUUGAAAAAAUUAUGGAAAACGCCCUUACAUUACCAUGAUUUUUCUACAAAACUUCUGUUAAUAAGGAUAGUUCUGAGAAGUUAGAAGGGACAUUCUCAUUGUCAAUUAUGCCUGAUCGGUUUGUAUUUUACUUGGAAGGACAUGCUCCUAGAGUUGACCUGCCCAUAAGAUCAGUAGAGAUAAGCUGGUCCACUCCAAAUAAUAAUGUUAUAAAAGACUCCAAUGGUGGCAACCUUGUUGAUAUGGAGCCUAGGAUGCACAGUUUUGGAAAUGGCUACAACUAAACCUCAUUGGAGUCAGCAUGAAAGGAUAGAUGAAGAGUUGCAGAGACACAAUGAACUUAUAUUUUGAAUGCCACCCCAAUUUCGGUGAUAAAACCAUAGAAAGUUCAAAAACAUUGUGGCCAAAAUUGCACUCGAUAUGAACCACUUCUAGAAUCUUGUUUACAGCUUCAAACAAGAUGAGAGUGAUUGAAUCUUCUCUU
This is a long non-coding RNA of Vigna unguiculata (cowpea), 1741 nucleotides long. RefSeq lists it as uncharacterized. The record is from RefSeq and is a predicted model, not a curated record. NCBI's taxonomy places the organism in Eukaryota, Viridiplantae, Streptophyta, Magnoliopsida, Fabales, Fabaceae.